RNAcentral lists this ribosomal RNA (338 nucleotides) under Hospesneotomae barberi. RNAcentral's name for it is "Triatoma barberi partial 16S ribosomal RNA". The record is from RNAcentral. Lineage: Eukaryota; Metazoa; Arthropoda; Insecta; Hemiptera; Reduviidae.
CUGACCUGCCCAAUGAGGAAUUGAAUGGCCGCAGUAUUUUAACUGUGCUAAGGUAGCAUAAUCAUUUGUCUUUUAAUUGAGGGCUGGAAUGAAAGGUUGGACGAGACAUUAGCUUUCUUUAGUUUAAUUGAAAGAAUUUAAUUUUUGAGUCAAAAAGCUUAAAUAUAUUUGUUGGACGAGAAGACCCUAUAGAUCUUUAUAGUCUUAUGUUUUUGUAUUGUAGGGAAUAUCUAUAUUUAAAGCAAAAGGAUUAUUUUGUUGGGGUGACUAUGGAAUUAUAAUAACUUCUGUUUGUUGGAUUCAUUAAUUAGUGUUUUAUUGAUCCAUAAAUUUGUGAU